AUUGAACGCUGGCGGCAGGCCUAACACAUGCAAGUCGAGCGGAUGAAGGGAGCUUGCUCCUGGAUUCAGCGGCGGACGGGUGAGUAAUGCCUAGGAAUCUGCCUGGUAGUGGGGGAUAACGUCCGGAAACGGGCGCUAAUACCGCAUACGUCCUGAGGGAGAAAGUGGGGGAUCUUCGGACCUCACGCUAUCAGAUGAGCCUAGGUCGGAUUAGCUAGUUGGUGGGGUAAAGGCCUACCAAGGCGACGAUCCGUAACUGGUCUGAGAGGAUGAUCAGUCACACUGGAACUGAGACACGGUCCAGACUCCUACGGGAGGCAGCAGUGGGGAAUAUUGGACAAUGGGAGAAAGCCUGAUCCAGCCAUGCCGCGUGUGUGAAGAAGGUCUUCGGAUUGUAAAGCACUUUAAGUUGGGAGGAAGGGCAGUAAGUUAAUACCUUGCUGUUUUGACGUUACCAACAGAAUAAGCACCGGCUAACUUCGUG
This 484-nucleotide ribosomal RNA is filed under the name uncultured bacterium. RNAcentral describes it as "partial 16S ribosomal RNA". It matches the Rfam family "Bacterial small subunit ribosomal RNA", at positions 30 to 507 of the family's 1533-position model. The record is from RNAcentral.